UGGCGAACGGGUGAGUAAUACAUCGGAACGUGUCCGCUCGUGGGGGACAACCAGCCGAAAGGUUGGCUAAUACCGCAUGAGUUCUACGGAAGAAAGAGGGGGACCCGCAAGGGCCUCUCGCGAGCGGAGCGGCCGAUGACUGAUUAGCCGGUUGGUGAGGUAACGGCUCACGAAGGCAACGAUCAGUAGCUGGUCUGAGAGGACGACCAGCCACACUGGGACUGAGACACGGCCCAGACUCCUACGGGAGGCAGCAG
This 257-nucleotide ribosomal RNA is filed under the name uncultured bacterium. RNAcentral describes it as "partial 16S ribosomal RNA". It matches the Rfam family "Bacterial small subunit ribosomal RNA", at positions 96 to 354 of the family's 1533-position model. The record is from RNAcentral.